UGGGGAAUAUUGCGCAAUGGGCGAAAGCCUGACGCAGCGACGCCGCGUGAGGGAUGAAGGCCUUCGGGUCGUAAACCUCUUUCAGCAGGGAAGAAGCGAAAGUGACGGUACCUGCAGAAGAAGCACCGGCUAACUACGUGCCAGCAGCCGCGGUAAUACGUAGGGUGCAAGCGUUGUCCGGAAUUAUUGGGCGUAAAGAGCUCGUAGGCGGUCUGUCGCGUCUGCUGUGAAAACUCAGGGCUUAACCCUGAGCUUGCAGUGGGUACGGGCAGACUAGAGUGCGGUAGGGGAGACUGGAAUUCCUGGUGUAGCGGUGAAAUGCGCAGAUAUCAGGAGGAACACCGGUGGCGAAGGCGGGUCUCUGGGCCGUAACUGACGCUGAGGAGCGAAAGCAUGGGGAGCGAACAG
RNAcentral lists this ribosomal RNA (408 nucleotides) under uncultured bacterium. RNAcentral describes it as "bacterial SSU rRNA". It matches the Rfam family "Bacterial small subunit ribosomal RNA", at positions 355 to 775 of the family's 1533-position model. The record is from RNAcentral.